GAGUUUUUUUAAAUGGGGCUUAGCUACAGAUUGAUACCUACAAUAAAGAUUGAGUUUUUUUUUCUUUUUUAAAUCCACUUAUAAAUCUCAUAGAUCAAUAAGUGUUCAGGCCAGUGACAUUUUCAGAAUAUAACAGAGAGACUUUCAAAUUCAAUAGAUAUAAUAUAGGAUUAAAGAUUCCAUUUAAGCAUUUACCUUGAGCAUUCAAGUACCAUUGACGCAGACAAGGGGUUGAAUGUCCUCACUGUCAACCAUUUUCUACUUUCUGCAAACAAACAAUAAACAUACACACCAAUUUGACAUAAACAAAAAUAUAUAUC
Molecule: long non-coding RNA, 320 nt
Filed under: Brassica napus (rape)
Lineage: Eukaryota; Viridiplantae; Streptophyta; Magnoliopsida; Brassicales; Brassicaceae
Description: long non-coding RNA (BNAP_LNC026587)
Source: RNAcentral